Molecule: ribosomal RNA, 497 nt
Filed under: uncultured bacterium
Lineage: Bacteria
Description: partial 16S ribosomal RNA
Rfam family: Bacterial small subunit ribosomal RNA
Source: RNAcentral
GAUGAACGCUGGCGGCGUGCCUAAUACAUGCAAGUCGAGCGAACAGACGAGGAGCUUGCUCCUCUGACGUUAGCGGCGGACGGGUGAGUAACACGUGGAUAACCUACCUAUAAGACUGGGAUAACUUCGGGAAACCGGAGCUAAUACCGGAUAAUAUAUUGAACCGCAUGGUUCAAUAGUGAAAGACGGUUUUGCUGUCACUUAUAGAUGGAUCCGCGCCGCAUUAGCUAGUUGGUAAGGUAACGGCUUACCAAGGCAACGAUGCGUAGCCGACCUGAGAGGGGGAUCGGCCACACUGGAGCUGAGACACGGUCCAGACUCCUACGGGAGGCAGCAGUAGGGAAUCUUCCGCAAUGGGCGAAAGCCUGACGGAGCAACGCCGCGUGAGUGAUGAAGGUCUUCGGAUCGUAAAACUCUGUUAUUAGGGAAGAACAAAUGUGUAAGUAACUAUGCACGUCUUGACGGUACCUAAACAGAAAGCCACGGCUAACUACGUG